GAAUAGCACGAUAUUACAUUACGAUUAUGGUUAGGUAUAAAUACGGUGUUAAAAUUUUAUAAUGAAAAAUUUAAAGUUUUAUUAUAGCUAAAAAAUUUGGUAUAUUAUAAUUUUUUAUGCGAAUUUUUAUCUAAAAGGAAUUUUGAGCAGUGAAUAGAUUUAAUGAUUAAGGAUACUUAGAAUUAGAUAUUAAUAAUUGUAUAGACAAAUCUUGUGCCAGCAGUUGCGGUUAAACAUGAUAUACUUCUAAAUUUGGUUCGGGUGAUAAUGAUCUCCUUUAAAGAAGUUGAGAAUCAGUUAUAUAAGGUGAAAUUUUUUGAUUGAUUAAAUUUACUUGUAAGAGAAAUAUUAUUAGAUUUGUAAAUAAACUAGGAUUAGAUACCCUAUUAUUAGAAAAGUAAAUUUGAAUUCCUGAGAAGUACUGGUUGUUCCUUAAAUUUAAAAAAUUUGGCGGUGUUUUAGUCUAUUCAGAGGAACCUGUCCUGUAAUUGAUAAUCCACGAUUAAUUGAACUUAUUCUUUAAGUUUGUAUAUCGUCGUUAUUUGAAUAUCUUCCAAGGGAUGAAUAUUCAGAAUUUGGAAUUUUAAUCUAAAUCAGAUCAAGGUGCAGUUCACGGAUAAGGAGAGAUGGGUUACAAUGAAUAUAUAUAUAUGGUUUGAGAGGUGAAAUUCUCACGAUAAAUUGGAUUUGAUAGUAAAAUGGAUUAUAUAAUCUAUUUGAUUUUAGCUCUAGAAUAUGCACAUAUCGCCCGUCGCUCCUACUACAAAGUAGGAUAAGUCGUAACAUAGUAGGUGUACCGGAAGGUGUACCUGGAAAGG
This 818-nucleotide ribosomal RNA is filed under the name Dorcus cervulus. RNAcentral's name for it is "12S ribosomal RNA". Lineage: Eukaryota; Metazoa; Arthropoda; Insecta; Coleoptera; Lucanidae. The record is from RNAcentral.